Molecule: ribosomal RNA, 502 nt
Filed under: uncultured bacterium
Lineage: Bacteria
Description: partial 16S ribosomal RNA
Rfam family: Bacterial small subunit ribosomal RNA
Source: RNAcentral
AUUGAACGCUGGCGGCAGGCUUAACACAUGCAAGUCGAGCGGGGUGAUGGUGCUUGCACUAUCACUUAGCGGCGGACGGGUGAGUAAUGCUUAGGAAUCUGCCUAUUAGUGGGGGACAACAUCUCGAAAGGGAUGCUAAUACCGCAUACGUCCUACGGGAGAAAGCAGGGGAUCACUUGUGACCUUGCGCUAAUAGAUGAGCCUAAGUCGGAUUAGCUAGUUGGUGGGGUAAAGGCCUACCAAGGCGACGAUCUGUAGCGGGUCUGAGAGGAUGAGCUGCCACACUGGACUGAGACACGGCCCAGACUCCUACGGGAGGCAGCAGUGGGGAAUAUUGGACAAUGGGGGGAGACCUGAGCCAGCCAUGCCGCGUUUGUGAAGAAGGCCUUAUGGUUGUAAAGCACUUUAAGCGAGGAGGAGGCUCUUUUGGUUAAUACCCAAGAUGAGUGGACGUUACUCGCAGAAUAAGCACCGGCUAACUCUGUGCCAGCCGCCGCCGUAA